GUGGGAUGGAGAGAAUAAUUUGACAUUAAACGACAGUUUUCUAGAUUCACCUGGGAAGGGUUGGAGGAAGUCAGGUGAAGAGAAAUUCAGGAUGCAUGAAGUGACUCUGACGCAGAGAGGAAAUGAUAUAACAGAAGUUAGGGGGCAGCUGCAUUAUGAUAAACAGAGCAGAUGUGGCCUGUCAGUGUAGUCUUUCUGUGAUCAGGACGAGGACUGUGGGGACCCAGCUAUCAGAUCGAAGACUGAUACACAGGAGAAAGAAGCCUUGGUGUCCAGACAAAGCUGCCCACAACAGGUGCUGCUGUUGGUACAUUAGAGACGAGACCAGCAGAACAAUCCAUCGAAGGGCUAAUUUCAACCUCUCAGGAACCUCCUCCAUCACCUCCGACUGAUUGGUCACAGCCUGAAAUUGAAGAUGAUGACCGAUGCGUGACUGUGGUAACUCAUCUUUUGUUACAAGACUCUCAUGAAGGAAUCAAGCAAAUGUUGUCAGCACAGUGCUGCAGGAAUGUUGAACAGAGAAUGUGUGCUGUAAGAGUAGACUAAGUGUCUGCAUACUAAUUACAAUUUAAUGUAUCUUGCUCAACAAGAGAAUGCUGCAAAAAAAAGACCUGAUCAGUUCAUUUAGUUUCUUUUUCUGCAGUAUUCCAGUGGCAGCACUGCCAAAGAGAAAACAUCUGUUGUUAUUGUGAAAACGGUAACAAGAUUAUUUUCUCAUUAUAACUGGAUGCUUUGUCGUGAUAACAGGAUACAUUUCUUGUUGUAGAAAUAAAAAGAAAAAUAGACUUCUUUUUUCUUUUCAGUGAAAU
Molecule: long non-coding RNA, 809 nt
Organism: Larimichthys crocea (large yellow croaker)
Lineage: Eukaryota; Metazoa; Chordata; Actinopteri; Sciaenidae
Exons: 3
Source: RefSeq, a predicted model, not a curated record